UCUCUAAGUCCCCCAUCAUCAGAAGCCCAUCCCUUCUUCUGUUACUUCUUUCUAUCGCCCAAAUAACUGUACCUCUUUUUUUUUUCCCCCUUUUUUCUUUUCUAAUCCUGAACCACAGUUACCCACCAAACGGCCUCACACAGCUGCAGACACUAUCACCUCGUUCUGAAUUCUUUUAUCUCGCAUUUUACUUGAUUCUUUUUGCUUGCCUUGUGAGAUACAGUAUUUUUGUGUUCUGGAAGAGUAAUUUUGUGUUAAAAUUCCCAUUAUUGUCGUUGCUUGUUCUGUAAUAGCCCAAAUUGGUGGCCGGUAGGCUGUAUUUAAGCCAGCAUAUUUGUUUUACGAAGGAAAAAAAAGAAACAUACUAUUUUUACAUCCUGUUAGUUAUGUCAAAGAUACAGACAGAUAUAUAAGCUUCAUUCCAGCCUUGCGUAUUUAUCUCCCCUACUGCAUAUCUAUUGGAGAAGUGGGUUUCUGAAAUUGUUGGUUUUCGAAUGGGAAAGUGCGGUGUUAUUGUUAUCCCUCUUCUUCUGUUCUUGUGUCCUCUGUUUCAUGGAGGAAUAAGUACUGUAGUUGCCAGAGGCCAGGAAGGAUCAGAGGAAUGGGGAUAUGUUCAAGUCAGACCCAUGUUUUUAUUUGCUCUUGGAUUGAGUUAUGCAGAAGCCCACAUGUUCUGGUGGCUUUACAGAAGUCCCUAUAGAGUUGAGGAUCCCUCCAAACCAUGGCCAAUCAUUCUUUGGUUGCAGGGUGGACCUGGUGCUUCAGGAGUUGGGAUUGGCAAUUUUGAAGAGGUUGGGCCAUUAGAUGCAGAUUUGAAGCCGCGGAAUUCAACAUGGUUGCGAAAAGCUGAUCUUUUGUUUGUGGAUAACCCAGUUGGAACCGGAUACAGUUUUGUGGAGGAUGAAAACCUGUAUGUCAAAACCGAUGAAGAGGCAGCAACUGAUUUAGUCACUUUGUUGGAGAAAAUAUUCAAUAGCAAUGAGAACCUCCAAAAGAGUCCUCUGCACAUUGUGGCAGAGUCUUAUGGUGGAAAAUAUGCUGUCACUCUUGCGCUGUCAGCACUAAAAGCCAUAGAAGCUGGGAAAUUGAAGCUUAAACUGGGAGGAGUGGUAUUAGGGGACAGCUGGAUCUCCCCAGAAGAUUUUGUGUUUUCAUGGGGUCCUCUGCUGAAAGAUCUAUCGCGGCUCGACACUAAUGGGUUGCUGCAAUCAAACAGUCUGGCUCAGAAGAUCAAGCAGCAAAUUGAGCAAGGUCAAUACGUUGGUGCAACCACUUCAUGGAUGGAACUUGAGUCGGUGAUUGGCUCCAGCAGUGAUCAUGUGGACUUCUACAAUUUUCUAUUGGAUUCGGGAUCAUCAGAAGCUGCAUCAAUGACAGCCAUAGAAUUGAAAAAAGGGAUUGCAUUAAAAAGAUAUUCGAGAUAUUUGAGUUCCUUAAGGUCUUCUGCUGGUGGUGGUGGUGGUGAUUUGGAUAGUUUGCUGAAUGGUGCCAUUAAAGAGAAGCUUAAGAUUCCGGAAAAUGUAACGUGGGGAGGGCAGUCAGAUUCUGUUUUCGAUAGUCUGGCAGGGGAUUUCAUGAAACCAAGGAUUAGUGAGGUCGAUGAGCUCCUUGUUAAAGGAGUGAAUGUGACUGUGUACAAUGGGCAACUUGAUCUUAUUUGUGCUACCAAGGGGACAGAAGCCUGGAUUGAGAAGCUCAAGUGGGAAGGGCUACAAAAAUUCUUGAGCACAGACAGAACUCCUCUCUAUUGUGGGAAUAAUGGAAGAACAAAGGGUUUCACCAAGUCAUACAAAAACCUACACUUCUAUUGGAUUCUUGGAGCAGGCCACUUUGCAGUAAUGGUGAGUACUAUUUUAGAUUAGAUAAGAAGUGUCGGCCUUCAGGGGGGACUAGAAAUCGAAAUCAGAGAUUCAGAAAGGCUCAUGACUUUCUCAAAAACAACGUGACUGAAGAGUAGGUACCAAAUGAUCAGCCCUGCGUUGCAAUAAACAUGGUGGGUGCCAUCACCCAGUCCCCAGCGCCUUCUACGUAGAAAUCGAAGAGAAAAAUGCUCUUUAAACAGCUCUUCAAUACGCCAAUGAGAAAGGGUUGUUGGUGAGAUGGUACAGAUAAUGCAGUGUCAACAAGCAUGCCAAUAAGAGAGAGAGAGAGAGAGAGAGAGAGAGAGGUGCAGUAAAUAUAAUGCAACGAUACUCAUAAAUAGUUUCUUCUCUUUUUCUUUUUUUCUCUUUCUUUCUUUUUUUUUUUUUUUUUUUUUUUUUUUUGAGCAAAUGACAGGGUAUAUUGGGAAUAAAUUAAACUAGAUGGGUACACUAUUGGGGGGGCCGGAGAAGUACUGUGUAGGACAAGUUGAUGGGAAUGCUUUUCCACUUCUCGUGGGAAAGAGGAACCCGUUUCGUCAACUCAUGCACUGCACGAUAAAUGCUGCAUGUGUUCUAUUAUUGUUUCACAGCUCCAUUCAUUAUCGCUAUUUGUCUUUGGCUUUAAGCAACUGUUUUACACAAAACAUAAAAAGUAUUUGAUUAAUCAAAUAACAUAAUUCUCUCUUAUACAUA
Carya illinoinensis is the source of this 2555-nucleotide RNA transcript. It is a transcript of the gene named serine carboxypeptidase-like 51, with no coding region annotated. NCBI's taxonomy places the organism in Eukaryota, Viridiplantae, Streptophyta, Magnoliopsida, Fagales, Juglandaceae. The transcript has 14 exons. The record is from RefSeq and is a predicted model, not a curated record.